GAGUUUGAUCCUGGCUCAGAUUGAACGCUGGCGGCAUGCUUAACAGAUGCAAGUCGAACGGCAGCGCGGGAAAGCUUGCUUUCCUGGCGGCGAGUGGCGGACGGGUGAGUAACGCGUAGGAACCUACCCAGUAGUGGGGGACAACCCGAGGAAACUCGGGCUAAUACCGCAUACCCUCUACGGAGGAAAGCAGGGGAUCUUUUUCGGGACUUCGCGCUAUUGGAUGAGCCUAAGUCGGAUUAGCUUGUUGGUGGGGUAAUGGCCUACCAAGGCGACGAUCGGUAGCUGGUCUGAGAGGACGAUCAGCCACACUGGGACUGAGACACGGCCCAGACUCCUACGGGAGGCAGCAGUGGGGAAUAUUGGACAAUGGGGGCAACCCUGAUCCAGCAAUGCCGCGUGUGUGAAGAAGGCCUAAGGGUUGUAAAGCACUUUCAGUGGGGAGGAGAAGCCUAGUGUUAAUAGCACUAAGCUGAGACGUUACCCACAGAAGAAGCACCGGCUAACUCUGUGCCAGCAGCCGCGGUAAUACAGAGGGUGCGAGCGUUAAUCGGAAUUACUGGGCGUAAAGCGCACGUAGGUGGAUUGGUAAGUUGGAUGUGAAAUCCCUGGGCUCAACCUGGGCAUGCCAUACAAAACUGCUUGACUAGAGUACAGUAGAGGGAAGUGGAAUUUCAGGUGUAGCGGUUAAAUGCGUAGAUAUCUGAAGGAACACCAGUGGCGAAGGCGGCUUCCUGGACUGAUACUGACACUGAGACGCGAAAGCGUGGGUAGCGAACAGGAUUAGAUACCCUGGUAGUCCACGCCGUAAACGAUGAGAACUAGCUGUUGGGGACUUCGGUCUUUAGUGGCGCAGUUAACGCGAUAAGUUGACCGCCUGGGGAGUACGGUCGCAAGAUUAAAACUCAAAUGAAUUGACGGGGGCCCGCACAAGCGGUGGAGCAUGUGGUUUAAUUCGAUGCAACGCGAAGAACCUUACCAGGCCUUGACAUCCAGAGAAUCCCAUAGAGCUAUGGGAGUGCCUUCGGGAACUCUGUGACAGGUGCUGCAUGGCUGUCGUCAGCUCGUGUCGUGAGAUGUUGGGUUAAGUCCCGUAACGAGCGCAACCCUUAUCCCUAGUUGCCAGCGAUUCUGUCGGGGACUCUAGAGAGACUGCCGGUGAUAAACCGGAGGAAGGCGGGGACGACGUCAAGUCAUCAUGGCCCUUAUGGGUAGGGCUACACACGUGCUACAAUGGAGCGUACAGAGGGUUGCGAAGCCGCGAGGUGGAGCCAAUCCCAGAAAACGCUUCGUAGUCCGGAUUGGAGUCUGCAACUCGACUCCAUGAAGUUGGAAUCGCUAGUAAUCGCAGAUCAGCACGCUGCGGUGAAUACGUUCCCGGGCCUUGUACACACCGCCCGUCACACCAUGGGAGUGGGCUGCACCAGAAGUAGGUUGCUUAACCUUAGGGAGGGCGCUUACCACGGUGUGGUUCAUGACUGGGGUGAAGUCGUAACAAGGUAACC
This 1505-nucleotide ribosomal RNA is filed under the name uncultured prokaryote. RNAcentral's name for it is "partial 16S ribosomal RNA". It matches the Rfam family "Bacterial small subunit ribosomal RNA". The record is from RNAcentral.